CGCUAGUAAUCGCGGAUCAGCAUGCCGCGGUGAAUACGUUCCCGGGCCUUGUACACACCGCCCGUCACACCAUGAGAGUUUGUAACACCCAAGCCGGUGGGGUAACCUUUUGGAGCCAGGCCGUCUAAGGGUGGGACAGAUGAUUAGGGUGAAGUCGUAACAAGGUACC
This 169-nucleotide ribosomal RNA is filed under the name uncultured bacterium. RNAcentral's name for it is "partial 16S ribosomal RNA". It matches the Rfam family "Bacterial small subunit ribosomal RNA", at positions 1333 to 1500 of the family's 1533-position model. The record is from RNAcentral.